Molecule: non-coding RNA, 279 nt
Organism: Pelobates cultripes (western spadefoot toad)
Lineage: Eukaryota; Metazoa; Chordata; Amphibia; Anura; Pelobatidae
Source: the annotation of a GenBank genome assembly
CUUUAGUCUCUAAUUUGAGUUUAGCCUAGAUAAUUAAUUUAUUGAUGUCGUACUGAUCCUUGUGUUUGUAUGAUUAUAGAGACUGUACUGGAGUAUUUGUGCUGCCUGAUAUUUGGGACUACACACCAAUCUCUCUGGCUGACCUACCUGCCUACUUACCUUUUUUGCAAUUAAAUCUGUUUGGUCAAAAACCAUGCUGGCCGAAGAAACUGAGAUGCUUACUUAUGAGGACAUAAACUAACUUGGAAAGUCCUGAAGAUGCAGUGCUGUCUAAUGCCG